Molecule: ribosomal RNA, 813 nt
Filed under: uncultured bacterium
Lineage: Bacteria
Description: bacterial SSU rRNA
Rfam family: Bacterial small subunit ribosomal RNA
Source: RNAcentral
AGAGUUUGAUCAUGGCUCAGAACGAACGUUGGCGGCGUGGAUUAGGCAUGCAAGUCGAACGAGAAAGUUCCCUUCGGGGGAUGAGUAAAGUGGCGAACGGGAGAGUAACGCGUGGGAAACCUACCCUUCAGCGGGGGACAACAGUUCUAACGAACUGCUAAUACCGCAUACGAUCCGGCGACCGCAUGGUGGCCGGCUGAAAGAUGGCCUCUGCUUGCAAGCUGUCACUGAAGGAUGGUCCCGCGUCCCAUUAGCUAGUUGGCGGGGUAAUGGCCCACCAAGGCGACGAUGGGUAGCCGGCCUGAGAGGGUGUCCGGCCUCACUGGGACUGAGAUACGGCCCAGACUCCUACGGGAGGCAGCAGUCGAGAAGCUUCGGCAAUGGGCGAAAGCCUGACCGAGCGACGCCGCGUGAGCGAUGAAGGCCUUAGGGUCGUAAAGCUCUGUCAGGAGGGAAUAAAUACCCGCGAUUAAUACCCGCGGGGGUUGAAGGUACCUCCAGAGGAAGCGCCGGCUAACUACGUGCCAGCAGCCGCGGUAAUACGUAGGGCGCAAACGUUGUUCGGAUUCACUGGGUAUAAAGGGUUCGUAGGCGGGCCAGUUAGUCAGAGGUGAAAGCCAACGGCUCAACCGUUGAAUUGCCUCUGAUACUGCUGGUCUUGAGUCCGCCAGGGGAUGGUGGAAUUCCUGGUGUAGCGGUGAAAUGCGUAAAUAUCAGGAGGAACACCAGUGGCGAAGGCGGCCAUCUGGGGCGGUACUGACGCUGAGGAACGAAAGCUAGGGUAUCAAACGGGAUUAGAUACCCUGGUAGUCC